Long non-coding RNA from Lates calcarifer (barramundi perch), 899 nucleotides. RefSeq lists it as uncharacterized. The transcript is spliced from 3 exons. Lineage: Eukaryota; Metazoa; Chordata; Actinopteri; Centropomidae. The record is from RefSeq and is a predicted model, not a curated record.
GCCAAGGCAGUGGAUGACCAAUCCAGGGUGUACUUCGAGACAGAAAACCGUUUCUACAAAUAUUCAAACCAAAUGGUGAUUUAGAGUCACCAGGUAUCCUAUCCCUACAUGUCUUUGGACUGUGGCAGGAAACUUAGGCAGCGUAAAAACACAAAUCCUCACAGAAAGGUCCCAGUCGUGCAGCAGAUUCACAGCCUUUUUGGCUGAGCUAACUACAGCACCGCCAUACCUGUGGGUCAUAAUGACUCCGAUGUAGGUCGGCUACCGGGUUAGCAUGCUAAUUUCAGUAGAAGAAUAAAAGCGAUAGAAGGAGAAGCAAAACAGGAGUUAGUAUUGGCGUUGCUCUCCACCGCUGGAGACAGCUCUCGGCGAGUAAAGGACUGAAGUUUGGUGCCGAACUCGCAACGGUUUUUUUCUAGACCGUGCUUCGUAUUUCAGCCCGAAAUUACUCCUCCGUGCUGCUCACACAUGCCUUGUACCAACCAAAAAAAAAGUAACCCAGAGGCUUUUUGUGAGAAAACUGCCACGAGCUAUGGAGCCAAACCAGGCUGGACCAAGCAGUUUGCCUCUUUUCAAGUCCCGCUGCUGCUGGAGCCGGUUCAUGGCACACAAGUGUGAAAUUGGUGAAUAGAUUACAUGUAAGGGCUGUGAUGAUGUGCCAGCAGCUGGUCCAUCGUUACAGGUCAAUACUGAUCAAACGUGGCUGAUAAUGUGUGCAGUGAGUCAAUUUUUUUCGCUCAUGUGUGCAGAUAUCAGGACAUUAGUGAAUCCUCUCAUUGGAAAGAAAUUGUAUUUAUUGAUAAAAAUCCAUUAUAAAAGACUAUACAAUGUAAUUUCCACAUAUAUUUCCCACUUCAUUCAUUUUUAUUCUUUUUUACACUUGAUAUUUUUUUUACAAA